UGGGGAAUUUUGGACAAUGGGCGAAAGCCUGAUCCAGCAAUGCCGCGUGUGUGAAGAAGGCCUUCGGGUUGUAAAGCACUUUUGUCCGGAAAGAAAUCCUUGGCUCUAAUACAGUCGGGGGAUGACGGUACCGGAAGAAUAAGCACCGGCUAACUACGUGCCAGCAGCCGCGGUAAUACGUAGGGUGCAAGCGUUAAUCGGAAUUACUGGGCGUAAAGCGUGCGCAGGCGGUUUGCUAAGACCGAUGUGAAAUCCCCGGGCUCAACCUGGGAACUGCAUUGGUGACUGGCAGGCUAGAGUAUGGCAGAGGGGGGUAGAAUUCCACGUGUAGCAGUGAAAUGCGUAGAGAUGUGGAGGAAUACCGAUGGCGAAGGCAGCCCCCUGGGCCAAUACUGACGCUCAUGCACGAAAGCGUGGGGAGCAAACAGGAUUAGAUACCCUGGUAGUCCACGCCCUAAACGAUGUCAACUGGUUGUCGGGCCUUCAUUGGCUUGGUAACGUAACUAACGCGUGAAGUUGACCGCCUGGGGAGUACGUCGCAAGAUUAAACUCAAUGAAUUGACGGGGUCAUAGCUGUUUCCU
RNAcentral lists this ribosomal RNA (582 nucleotides) under uncultured bacterium. Its description in RNAcentral is "partial 16S ribosomal RNA". It matches the Rfam family "Bacterial small subunit ribosomal RNA", at positions 355 to 1375 of the family's 1533-position model. The record is from RNAcentral.